GGUGUAUAAGACAGUUGAAUUUUGUGUCUUUAGGUUGGUUUUAGAAAGACCAAGGUGUGAGUGGGAGGAGAUUAACAGUUUGGGCGAGACAAUGUUGUUUUUAGGAGAAAAUUCUUCGUUGGCAUUGUUGGCUUCUGAUUUUCCUGGAUGUGGAGGAAACAGGAUUUACUUUACUGAUGAUUAUUGUGAGGCUAACUAUGAUGGUGUCGAUGGAAAUCAUGAUUUAGGAUAUUACAAUUUAGCGGAUGGUAGUAUUGAAGCGUUGUCCUGCUGUCCUCGCAGUUCACAUUCUAUGCUUCGUUGGCCUCCUCCAAUUUGGUUCACUCCAAAUCCAUGUUGAAAAUUGGACCUUGGUGGAUUCCUCCAUUGACGGGGUUUGUGAAUAUGUUUUUCUGGCCAGAGUUCAAUUUGAUGGAUGAAUUAAUUUGUAUAUGAGACGCAAAUUAUCAAUUAGUGGUGUGCUGUAAGUAAACAUGUACCUACAUUUCUUGAUGCUAUCUGGGUGACCGCGACAUUCCUAU
RNAcentral lists this unclassified non-coding RNA (521 nucleotides) under Hevea brasiliensis (rubber tree). Lineage: Eukaryota; Viridiplantae; Streptophyta; Magnoliopsida; Malpighiales; Euphorbiaceae. The record is from RNAcentral.